GUACACGUGCCACGGCCUAGGGGGAAAUCAGUACUUUGAGUAUUCUGCUCAGCGAGAAAUCCGACACAACAUCCAGAAGGAGUUAUGUCUUCAUGCUACUCAGGGUGUUGUCCAGCUGAAGGCAUGUGUCUAUAAAGGUCACAGGACAAUCGCCCCUGGAGAACAGAUAUGGGAGAUUCGGAAGGUGAGCCGCGGUUCAUCCAUCCAUUCGAUAGCUUACUUUGAAGGGCUCUAAUUGCUUCACCAUGCUAUAUCAGAGUUUCUUCACCUUCACCAACGCCACAAUUAUUGCAUGUCCCCCUGUGUGAUAAGAGAACGUAUCUAGGUAUUAAGUAGCCAUGGGAA
Molecule: long non-coding RNA, 345 nt
Filed under: Rattus norvegicus (Norway rat)
Lineage: Eukaryota; Metazoa; Chordata; Mammalia; Rodentia; Muridae
Description: long non-coding RNA NONRATT019349
Source: RNAcentral